ACCAUUUUUGGCAAAUGAUGAUAUGGGGGAUGGAUUGACCUUUUUUGAAAUGCUAAAUAAUUUUUUAGGAUCACUACAAGCAGCCAUGUCUAAAACUGGAUUCUCCAACUCUAAGAAUUCAAGUUCACAACUAGCGCCAUCGGGACAGACAACUGCAUGUAGCACCUCCCAACCUAGGAAGCCAAGAACACAGACAAAGUGACCAACAGACGUCGUAAAAGCUGAGGGCAUCGACAGCGACAGGGUCGCAACUGAUGAUGCUGGUCUGAAACGGUGGCGAAUGCUCUGUGGAUUAAUCGCCGGAAAAAGGGUUGGAAUCAAUGUCAAUUUUGAUGCUAUGGACGAGCCCACACGAUAGGCCUUCUUCGAGAUCAUUCCGCAAUUCUUGGAGUUUCCUGAGGGCACAACUAAGGCACAAAUGAAUCUUGUAAGAUGAACUGCAUUGAAGUCAAUCUGUAAGCUCCACAGGCACUUCAAGUCCACUCUGGUAUGAAAUUUUGCCAACAAUGGCACGGAGCCCUUCGACAUGCACAAGCACUUGGAUCAUCGAGACUGGGAGACGUUCAUCGAGAAUACCACCUCUGAGCAGUUCUUAGAGAAGAGUGGGCAGUUCAAGAACCUUAGUGGUAGGAUCACGGACAACCAUCCCUAGGUCCAGAGGGCUAUGCUGGGAAGGAGAAGGGGAAGUGUCGCAAAGAGGAUGAGGCAAUGGAUGUGGCGGGGUCUGAGAACCCUUGGAAACAGUUUUCUGGACGGUCAGCGCCAUAUUUAAGGGCCAGGGCUGAUCCAACACGAUCCACCUAGGAAAUCACCUGGGGUAGCAACGGUACCAAGAGGCUAGCCGACCGGGUGAUCGAGCUGAAGGAUAAAGAGAGCGGUGCAAGAGAACAUGACAUCCUGUCCACUGCCAUUGAUACGCUAGAGCACAGAGGUCGCGUGCUGGAGUCUCUAGUUUGAAGGGUUGGAAGGGAGGCUUCGGACCAGAAAAUGAAGCCUUGUGGAAGAAGAAGAAAAGGACAUCUGUGGAUCCGGAGCGAUUGAAAAGAGAGAUAAUGGAUGAAAUAUUUGGGAAGCUCAGGGCAGCGGGUAUUGAUGUUGACACAGCAUUAGGUGCGUCCCAUGGCAAGAGCAGUUGCGUCUCUAAGGAGGUGGAUCAGCAACUAGAACAUAGGCAACUUGAAGGAGCAGUAGGUGCACCGUCCUCACCCUCCCCCUCCCCCGUGGUGGCCCCGACAAAUGCCUGCAUUCUAGCCAUGAUGAGCAGGACACAUUCGACACAUUUGACCAGCUAAAUGGUCCAACUGCCUGCAGCCUUAAAGUUGGAGGUUUCUCAAUAUUGUUGAUGGAGCUAGCACAGGGGUUUGUGCUACCGAGGACAAGGUCUGCAACACGGUGUCAGUGCAGGAUGGGUAUGUCAUGGUGAAGAUUGAUCACGUCCAUCCAAAUGCAGAACCCUUCCCUCUCGAUGUCCCGAAGACAGCUGCCAAUAUUUUUACUUUGGGGGAUGCCCGUAACAUGCAGAUCCAGUGGAAGAAAAGUGCAAUUAGGAUCCUGCCCCCUUGGUCGGUCCACUGCAUCAUCUUUAGGACAACCCUCAGCUACUGGUUCACAAAAGCGGCCACGCACCCCAACGCCUGAACUUGUGAAAGCUGACACUGCAACGAGCCCCCCAAAGAAAAAGGGAUGAAGCACCCCAAAGAAAAAGGCAAGGGUAAUGCGGCAGCAGCAAAAAAGGCAAAGGAAGCCAAGGGUAAGGCGGCACCCAAUGAACCCCAAGCAAAGAGUGCAUGGACUUCUGCUCACCCCAAGUUUGUAAUGGGCAAGCCAAUGAUGACAGCGGAGGAUCUAGACGCUGCAGGGGUGAAUACCAGGGGACUCCACAAACACUACAUUACCCAUGGCAUGAACGAAGGGCGGUCAAUCGUGGGUGAAUUCAAGAAGGGGGACUUGCACAGUGGGCCUAAUUAUUUCUCCGUUGCAUGGUCUGAUCUCUACAACGUCUUCAACCUCGAUGCCUUGGACGUCUCACUCAUUCGUUGCUUGACACUGCAAUUAAACAAACAAUCAAAGGAACGUCACCUCGGUGUUGCUUUCAUUGACCCCCAAUCCUUCUCAGCCACCGUCAUCAAUCAAGACCCGGACCAUGUAGCAAAGACCAUCGAAGAUGUCUUGAAGUCUAACGAUGUAGGUUGUGUUCUUGCCGCGCACCACACAGGCUCCCACUAUUUGCUAGUCGUCAUCUGUCCGAUGUGGGAAAAAGUGUGGUACUUGGACUCUGCUAGACCACGCAACGACUACGGCAGGGACUACACCAGCAUCAAGACAGUUAUCGAUCGGUAUAUCUCUGACUUACCACAUUUGCAAUUUUCUCAUUUGCGACCGGUCACAUAUUUUGCAGCUAACGACAUCCAUAACGCCUAAUGCAGUGGUUUCUCCUCCUUUCGAGCCGACCACCAUCUUCCGAAAACCAUUGACACACGUGACCGAUUUUUCAAUAUAUCUCUAACGGCGCGCAUUCUAUCUUUUCAUGAUUUGAACAAAUAUAUUUGACCUAACACUAUAUCAUCUUGUGCAGUGCAUGCAACAAGGAUCUGGAAAUGAAUGCGGGUUCUAUGUUGCAUACCACAUGAUCCGGAUUACUGCAACUUUCAAAAAUCAAGGAGUAAAAGGCAUCCGGGAUGACAAGGAGAGAUUGGAGAAGCAGCAGCUCGUGGCUAUUAGAUAAAAACUGGCCUCCUUCUUGGUAGACGUUAUAAGCUUGCCUCCUUCUUUGUUUAUAUACUACUAGUAGUUUCCUCCUACUCCCUCCAGUUCCUAGAACAAGAAGUUGUUUUGGACAAUGACACAGUCUCUAAGAAACAAUUUUGACCACUACUUUUUUAUAAAAUAUUCA
Long non-coding RNA from Panicum virgatum (switchgrass), 2893 nucleotides. RefSeq lists it as uncharacterized. Lineage: Eukaryota; Viridiplantae; Streptophyta; Magnoliopsida; Poales; Poaceae. The record is from RefSeq and is a predicted model, not a curated record. The transcript has 3 exons.